AGGUGGGUGGGAGUCAGUCUCUGCUGAUUUGCCAUAGAUUUCUCUCUCUCAAGCCUCGGGAAUGGGACCAUCAGGGCUCUUCUUGGGCCUGCUGAUCUUUUAAUAGAGAAUGUGAGCUGGGGAUGGAACUGGGGUGGGAAACUAAUUUACUAUAGUUUCUUGGAUGGUCCCACCUUGGAUCUCCUUCUCUGGGGGCCGGCCCUUGGCUCCAAGACAAGGCAGUUUGUCCCCUUCAGGUAGCUUUGCUAUAGGGAAGGGUUGCCUUCAGGUUCUCAGAAUAUAAAAGAUAAAAUAAAUUUUAAAAAUGCAUGCAAAACGGAUCACGUUCUAUAUCCUGGAGAAAUUUAUGUUAUCACAUUAUUUUGUAAUGGGACACCAUGAAAAUAGCUAAUUUAAUUAGUCGUCUCUUGGUGAACAUGAAUCCCUGUACAAAAAGGUUGGCCUUCUCUUGCAGGCACAUCUGAUCUGGGGAAAUUCUUUGUGGUAGAAUUCUAGUUUCUCCAAUAAAGCCUGAUCCCCCCUCCCCCCGGAAAAGGCCCUCAAUCAGUGUUUGUUGAGUGACUGAAAGAAUGAAUAUAAUUCCCAAGUCUGUCUGUAAGAGAUUUGUUGAGCUUUGAGUAUUAGAAAACCCACCAAACAGUGGCUUCAUCAAUAAAGACAAUCUAAUUUCCUCACAUCGGAGUGUGGAGAGAGGCAUCCACAGUGCUAAUGAGGAGACUCCUUCCUUCCUUCCCCGCCAACCUCAGCGUGCUGGCUUUUGUCCUCAAGACGGUCCCCUCACGGGUGUGGGACCGUUGUGCAGCCCUAGACGUCACAGCAGGAAGGUCUGUGGAAAGGGUAAUGGUGAAAAGACCUUCCCCUCAAAUGCUCUCUCCUUUUAAUGACAGAGACCAUCUUCCCUGGAAGCUGACCCUGCCCAUGUUUCUCUCGUCCUCUCAUUGGCUGGAAAAGCAAAUGUCUGCAAACAGGAAGUGGAAAAUGUGACUUCUUAGAUGAAAUGUGCUUCAUCCUUGAGGCUGAGGGAGGGGCCCACCUGGAUUUAAAAAAUUGAGAUUCUAUUAGCAAGGAAGGAGAGAAUGGGGGAGGGAAGGAAUGAACCUCGUGUGCCGUACUGGGUUCAAGGACGUAUGCAUUCAAAAUUUGGACAGAAAUUUCUAAGUAGGCAGGACUUUUAUAACAAGUGCUCACCUUGAAUAUUGCAAAAAUGUUUUUUUAUAAUUCCCAACUCAAAAAAACAGAAAAAGGCAAGUUACAACUUAAAAAAAAAAAAAAAAAAAAAAACCUUCCAGGGCACCUGGGUGACGCAUUUGGUUGGGUGUCUGACUCUUAAAUUCUGCUCAAGUUGUGAUCUCAGGGUCGUGAGAUUGAGCCCUGUGUCGGGCUCUGAGUCUGCUCAAGACUCUCUCUCCCUGUGCCCCUCCCCCAAUAAAUAAAUAAAACUUUAAAAUUAAAAAAAAAUUUCCAUCACUGUUGUCUUUUUGUGCCCCCUUUCCCUCUGGUUUCACACUGGCCUGUGAAAUUCCGGUUUCUACUGGUUCGGAACACUCAUCUCUUUGAGAAGACAUGUCGGCGUUUGAUCUGAAGAGGAGCGGCUAGUGUGAGCCUUGCAGUGGCCAUCCUAGGGACCCUCAGGGUCCCAGGCUCAUAGUGCAGGGACCUAGGAGGACCUCCCGUGUCCGUGUAAUUGGCUGCUGAACAAUUUGGUGGUGGAGACCACAGGUGGCACAUGUGUGUGCUGCCUCAGUGACAUCAUGGGCUCUGCAUCCUCUCCCUGCUGCUCUUCUGGAUCUUUCUCUCUGCGGAGCAUAAUGUCAUUGCCUCUAGAAGUCCAAUGCGCUAUCCAUUGCGCCACGGAGCCACCACCUUCUCUUCUAAUUUUGGUGUAAUGAUUUCCAGUUUCCUGUUUCCUGUUCCUCCAGUCCUGUUCAGCAGAUGGUGUGGUACACAUACAGGAGAGAGAGAGACAGCAAGAGAGGGAGCACAAGCGGGCGAGUGGGAAAGGGAAAAGCAGGCUUCACGCCGAGAGCCUGGAUGUGGGGCUGGAUCCCAGGACUCUCAGAUCAUGACCCGAGCUGAAGGCAGAGGCUUAAUCCAC
Long non-coding RNA from Mustela lutreola (European mink), 2095 nucleotides. RefSeq lists it as uncharacterized. The record is from RefSeq and is a predicted model, not a curated record. The transcript is spliced from 4 exons. Lineage: Eukaryota; Metazoa; Chordata; Mammalia; Carnivora; Mustelidae.